GAUGAACGCUAGCGGCAGGCCUCAUACAUGCAAGUCGAGGGGCAGCAGGACACUUCGGUGUUGCUGGCGACCGGCGCACGGGUGAGUAACACGUAUAUAAUCUGCCUUGUACUGGGGAAUAGCCCCUGGAAACGGGGAUUAAUAUCCCAUAUUGUCUUAUCAGCGCAUGCUGGCAAGAUGAAAGCUCCGGCGGUACAAGAUGAGUAUGCGUCCCAUUGGCUUGUUGGUGAGGUAAUAGCUCACCAAGGCUGCGAUGGGUAGGGGUUCUAAGAGGAAGGUCCCCCACACUGGCACUGAGAUACGGGCCAG
RNAcentral lists this ribosomal RNA (309 nucleotides) under uncultured bacterium. RNAcentral's name for it is "bacterial SSU rRNA". It matches the Rfam family "Bacterial small subunit ribosomal RNA", at positions 28 to 334 of the family's 1533-position model. The record is from RNAcentral.